CCUACGGGAGGCUGCAGUGAGGAAUAUUGGUCAAUGGACGAGAGUCUGAACCAGCCAAGUAGCGUGAAGGAUGACUGCCCUAUGGGUUGUAAACUUCUUUUAUAUGGGAAUAAAAUGUUCCACGUGUGGCUUUUUGUAUGUACUUUAUGAAUAAGGAUCGGCUAACUCCGUGCCAGCAGCCGCGGUAAUACGGAGGAUCCGAGCGUUAUCCGGAUUUAUUGGGUUUAAAGGGAGCGUAGGUGGAUUGUUAAGUCAGUUGUGAAAGUUUGCGGCUCAACCGUAAAAUUGCAGUUGAUACUGGCAGUCUUGAGUACAGUUGAGGUGGGCGGAAUGCGUGGUGUAGCGGUGAAAUGCUUAGAUAUCACGAAGAACUCCGAUUGCGAAGGCAGCUUACUAAACUGCAACUGACACUGAGGCUCGAAAGUGUGGGUAUCAAACAGGAUUAGAUACCCCUGUAGUC
This 460-nucleotide ribosomal RNA is filed under the name uncultured bacterium. RNAcentral describes it as "partial 16S ribosomal RNA". It matches the Rfam family "Bacterial small subunit ribosomal RNA", at positions 338 to 795 of the family's 1533-position model. The record is from RNAcentral.